RNAcentral lists this long non-coding RNA (620 nucleotides) under Homo sapiens (human). RNAcentral's name for it is "HSALNT0331426". The record is from RNAcentral. Lineage: Eukaryota; Metazoa; Chordata; Mammalia; Primates; Hominidae.
GACAAGAGCAAGAUUCUGUCUCAAAAAUAAAAUUUUAAAAGUUCUGCAAUUCUGCAUAAAGAUAAAUGCUAUUUGUUCCUGGGGGCUGGGGUCACCAGGGAGGCUUCCUGGAGGAGGAGGCAGGGCUGAGGAAUGGAUGGCAGCAGAGAGUAUUUGUGGGUGAGGCUAUGGUGCUGCUGGAGAGGCAGGGUGUGGCAGCUUGGGCUGGGGCCAGCAGUGAGCUUGGAAUUCCCCAGGGCUUUCCAGAAGCCAGAAGGCCGGGGCGGAGUGGGUUGUCCAAGAGCUUGUCUUGUCCUCUUGCCCUGGCCACAGCCGGGAAGCCCUGGGCAGGCGCCCGUGGAUAGCUGGCACGCUCAGCCUUUGGUGGAGAACUGAGAAAGUCUGAAGCAGGAAGGUGGAAAAACAUUUCGUGCUCAGGGAGGAAACGUCUUCACCCCGGUUUACAGAUUCCUUGGUGGUCCACAGACCCUGGAGUAAGAAUCUCUGCCCUAGGGGAUGACAGGACUGUAAAAGGAAGGGACCUGGGUCCCUGAAUCACACGGGGGAAGUCACCUGCUGAAUCAGAACGCCUCAACAGCUAGCUAGCCAAGAAAUAAACGGAGAGCGUGGCAACCCACAGA